Molecule: long non-coding RNA, 1329 nt
Organism: Drosophila novamexicana
Lineage: Eukaryota; Metazoa; Arthropoda; Insecta; Diptera; Drosophilidae
Exons: 10
Source: RefSeq, a predicted model, not a curated record
GAUAAAAUGCCAAUAUAUGUUUAUAUAAAUAUGUAUUUUUAUUACUUGCAGGAAUUCCCGAAGUGCAGCAGAAAAUAAAAAAAAAAUGAAUAACAUUUGAAUGGUUUUUUUUCCUGGCUCUAAGCUCCGAAGAUGAUCGUCAAUUCAAUUUUAAAAGAAACAGUAAGAUAAAAAGUGGUCAGUUAUGAAAAAAAAAAUGAUGCCUUCCGUAUCCGGGAAAUUGAAUUAUGGAUAUCCCAGGCCGGAAAAUAAUUAUCUUCAAGUAAAUUUUAAUGUGAAUGAUUAAGAGACAACUAAUUUUGGCGAUGCAUUUGCUACAAAGGCAGAUGACCGUGUACAGGAAAUUAAUUGAUGGAUAUCCCAGGCCGUUAAACAAUUAUCUUCAAGUAAAUUUUAAUGUGAAUGAUUAAGAGACAACUAAUUUUGGCGAUGCAUUUGCUACAAAGGCAGAUGACCGUGUACAGGAAAUUAAUUGAUGGAUAUCCCAGGCCGUUAAUCAAUUAUCUUCAAGUAAAUUUUAAUGUGAAUGAUUAAGAGACAACUAAUUUUGGCGAUGCAUUUGCUACAAAGGUUCGAUAAACAUAUUACCUCGAUAUGAAUACAUUUAAAUGCUAGAAAAUAUGAUGAUUUAUCUACGGAUUCCCCAGCAUUUCAACUAUAAAUGAAAAAGCAAUCCACUGAAAUUAAAAUAUUUAUAAUCGCAAAGUAUGGAGUCAGUUUGUUUUCCAAUAUUUACUUAAAUCUAUACGAGAACUCAAAAAUAUUUAAGUUAAAUGUAUUUGUUAAACUUAGUAAUGUGCUGCUUGUUUAAACAGAGAUGUAAAUAGCUAAGAUUAUUUUUGAUUAAUAUACAAAAGCCAAUAGUAAACUAUACAUUUAAACUAAACGAGUUAUAUUAAAUAAAUCUACCAUUUUCUUCAGGCUGAUGACCGUAUACAGAAUGGAUAUUCAAAGCCGUUCAACAAUUAUCUCAAGUAUAUGGCAAUGUGAAGGAUUAAGAGGACGAUUAAUUUUGGCGAGGCAUUUACUUCAAAAUGUAAAACUUAUAGAACCAUUUUUCUUUUCUUGAUUGGGGUAGAUAAAUAGACGUAUGCUUUGAGCUUAAAGCUAAAUCUAGCAAGAAUAUUUACCUCUUCCCGAGAUUGUUUCCCUAACCAAAGGUAAGUUUAUUUAAAAUAUGGUCAACCCGCGAUGUUCGAUCUACCAGGAAGGGAAGUGUUCCUCGAACUACGCAAUAUAAAGAUUUGCUAGUUAAUCUUAUACUAUGUAUCUGAUUUUUAUUUAAUACAUUUAUAGAAACACAUGAUUUAUUUCGGAAAAUUAAAUAAA